Molecule: ribosomal RNA, 742 nt
Filed under: uncultured bacterium
Lineage: Bacteria
Description: bacterial SSU rRNA
Rfam family: Bacterial small subunit ribosomal RNA
Source: RNAcentral
AGAGUUUGAUCAUGGCUCAGAGUGAACGCUGGCGGCAGGCCUAACACAUGCAAGUCGAGCGCCGUAGCAAUACGGAGCGGCAGACGGGAGAGUAACACGUGGGAACGUGCCCUUUGGUUCGGAACAACACAGGGAAACUUGUGCUAAUACCGGAUAAGCCCUUACGGGGAAAGAUUUAUCGCCAAAGGAUCGGCCCGCGUCUGAUUAGCUAGUUGGUGAGGUAACGGCUCACCAAGGCGACGAUCAGUAGCUGGUCUGAGAGGAUGAUCAGCCUCACUGGGACUGAGACACGGCCCAGACUCCUACGGGAGGCAGCAGUGGGGAAUAUUGGACAAUGGGCGCAAGCCUGAUCCAGCCAUGCCGCGUGGAUGAUGAAGGCCCUAGGGUUGUAAAGUCCUUUCGGCGGGGAAGGUAAUGACGGUACCCGCGGAAGAAGCCCCGGCUAACUUCGUGCCAGCAGCCGCGGUAAUACGAAGGGGGCUAGCGUUGCUCGGAAUCACUGGGCGUAAAGCGCACGUAGGCGGCUUUUUAAGUCAGGGGUGAAAUCCUGGAGCUCAACUCCAGAACUGCCUUUGAUACUGAGAAGCUUGAGUCCGGGAGAGGUGAGUGGAACUGCGAGUGUAGAGGUGAAACUCGUAGAUAUUCGCAAGAACACCAGUGGCGAAGGCGGCUCACUGGCCCGGUACUGACGCUGAGGUGCGAAAGCGUGGGGAGCAAACAGGAUUAGAUACCCUAGUAGUCC